Molecule: ribosomal RNA, 543 nt
Filed under: Priestia megaterium
Lineage: Bacteria; Bacillati; Bacillota; Bacilli; Caryophanales; Bacillaceae
Description: bacterial SSU rRNA
Rfam family: Bacterial small subunit ribosomal RNA
Source: RNAcentral
UCUGACGGAGCAACGCCGCGUGAGUGAUGAAGGCUUUCGGGUCGUAAAACUCUGUUGUUAGGGAAGAACAAGUACAAGAGUAACUGCUUGUACCUUGACGGUACCUAACCAGAAAGCCACGGCUAACUACGUGCCAGCAGCCGCGGUAAUACGUAGGUGGCAAGCGUUAUCCGGAAUUAUUGGGCGUAAAGCGCGCGCAGGCGGUUUCUUAAGUCUGAUGUGAAAGCCCACGGCUCAACCGUGGAGGGUCAUUGGAAACUGGGGAACUUGAGUGCAGAAGAGAAAAGCGGAAUUCCACGUGUAGCGGUGAAAUGCGUAGAGAUGUGGAGGAACACCAGUGGCGAAGGCGGCUUUUUGGUCUGUAACUGACGCUGAGGCGCGAAAGCGUGGGGAGCAAACAGGAUUAGAUACCCUGGUAGUCCACGCCGUAAACGAUGAGUGCUAAGUGUUAGAGGGUUUCCGCCCUUUAGUGCUGCAGCUAACGCAUUAAGCACUCCGCCUGGGGAGUACGGUCGCAAGACUGAAACUCAAAGGAAUUGACGG